Molecule: transfer RNA, 72 nt
Filed under: Camelus bactrianus (Bactrian camel)
Lineage: Eukaryota; Metazoa; Chordata; Mammalia; Artiodactyla; Camelidae
Also listed under: 1 other name
Rfam family: tRNA
About the family: Transfer RNA (tRNA) molecules are approximately 80 nucleotides in length.
Source: Rfam by way of RNAcentral
GGGUAUAUAGCUCAGUGGUAGAGUGCAGGCUUAGCAUGCAGGAGGUCCUGGGUUCAAUCCCCAGUGCCUUCA